GGUUAAGCGACUAAGCGUACACGGUGGAUGCCCUGGCAGUCAGAGGCGAUGAAGGACGUGCUAAUCUGCGAUAAGCGUCGGUAAGGUGAUAUGAACCGUUAUAACCGGCGAUUUCCGAAUGGGGAAACCCAGUGUGUUUCGACACACUAUCAUUAACUGAAUCCAUAGGUUAAUGAGGCGAACCGGGGGAACUGAAACAUCUAAGUACCCCGAGGAAAAGAAAUCAACCGAGAUUCCCCCAGUAGCGGCGAGCGAACGGGGAGCAGCCCAGAGCCUGAAUCAGUGUGUGUGUUAGUGGAAGCGUCUGGAAAGGCGCGCGAUACAGGGUGACAGCCCCGUACACAAAAAUGCACAUGCUGUGAGCUCGAUGAGUAGGGCGGGACACGUGGUAUCCUGUCUGAAUAUGGGGGGACCAUCCUCCAAGGCUAAAUACUCCUGACUGACCGAUAGUGAACCAGUACCGUGAGGGAAAGGCGAAAAGAACCCCGGCGAGGGGAGUGAAAAAGAACCUGAAACCGUGUACGUACAAGCAGUGGGAGCACGCUUAGGCGUGUGACUGCGUACCUUUUGUAUAAUGGGUCAGCGACUUAUAUUCUGUAGCAAGGUUAACCGAAUAGGGGAGCCGAAGGGAAACCGAGUCUUAACUGGGCGUUAAGUUGCAGGGUAUAGACCCGAAACCCGGUGAUCUAGCCAUGGGCAGGUUGAAGGUUGGGUAACACUAACUGGAGGACCGAACCGACUAAUGUUGAAAAAUUAGCGGAUGACUUGUGGCUGGGGGUGAAAGGCCAAUCAAACCGGGAGAUAGCUGGUUCUCCCCGAAAGCUAUUUAGGUAGCGCCUCGUGAAUUCAUCUCCGGGGGUAGAGCACUGUUUCGGCAAGGGGGUCAUCCCGACUUACCAACCCGAUGCAAACUGCGAAUACCGGAGAAUGUUAUCACGGGAGACACACGGCGGGUGCUAACGUCCGUCGUGAAGAGGGAAACAACCCAGACCGCCAGCUAAGGUCCCAAAGUCAUGGUUAAGUGGGAAACGAUGUGGGAAGGCCCAGACAGCCAGGAUGUUGGCUUAGAAGCAGCCAUCAUUUAAAGAAAGCGUAAUAGCUCACUGGUCGAGUCGGCCUGCGCGGAAGAUGUAACGGGGCUAAACCAUGCACCGAAGCUGCGGCAGCGACGCUUAUGCGUUGUUGGGUAGGGGAGCGUUCUGUAAGCCUGUGAAGGUGUGCUGUGAGGCAUGCUGGAGGUAUCAGAAGUGCGAAUGCUGACAUAAGUAACGAUAAAGCGGGUGAAAAGCCCGCUCGCCGGAAGACCAAGGGUUCCUGUCCAACGUUAAUCGGGGCAGGGUGAGUCGACCCCUAAGGCGAGGCCGAAAGGCGUAGUCGAUGGGAAACAGGUUAAUAUUCCUGUACUUGGUGUUACUGCGAAGGGGGGACGGAGAAGGCUAUGUUGGCCGGGCGACGGUUGUCCCGGUUUAAGCGUGUAGGCUGGUUUUCCAGGCAAAUCCGGAAAAUCAAGGCUGAGGCGUGAUGACGAGGCACUACGGUGCUGAAGCAACAAAUGCCCUGCUUCCAGGAAAAGCCUCUAAGCAUCAGGUAACAUCAAAUCGUACCCCAAACCGACACAGGUGGUCAGGUAGAGAAUACCAAGGCGCUUGAGAGAACUCGGGUGAAGGAACUAGGCAAAAUGGUGCCGUAACUUCGGGAGAAGGCACGCUGAUAUGUAGGUGAAGUCCCUCGCGGAUGGAGCUGAAAUCAGUCGAAGAUACCAGCUGGCUGCAACUGUUUAUUAAAAACACAGCACUGUGCAAACACGAAAGUGGACGUAUACGGUGUGACGCCUGCCCGGUGCCGGAAGGUUAAUUGAUGGGGUUAGCGCAAGCGAAGCUCUUGAUCGAAGCCCCGGUAAACGGCGGCCGUAACUAUAACGGUCCUAAGGUAGCGAAAUUCCUUGUCGGGUAAGUUCCGACCUGCACGAAUGGCGUAAUGAUGGCCAGGCUGUCUCCACCCGAGACUCAGUGAAAUUGAACUCGCUGUGAAGAUGCAGUGUACCCGCGGCAAGACGGAAAGACCCCGUGAACCUUUACUAUAGCUUGACACUGAACAUUGAGCCUUGAUGUGUAGGAUAGGUGGGAGGCUUUGAAGUGUGGACGCCAGUCUGCAUGGAGCCGACCUUGAAAUACCACCCUUUAAUGUUUGAUGUUCUAACGUUGACCCGUGAUCCGGGUUGCGGACAGUGUCUGGUGGGUAGUUUGACUGGGGCGGUCUCCUCCUAAAGAGUAACGGAGGAGCACGAAGGUUGGCUAAUCCUGGUCGGACAUCAGGAGGUUAGUGCAAUGGCAUAAGCCAGCUUGACUGCGAGCGUGACGGCGCGAGCAGGUGCGAAAGCAGGUCAUAGUGAUCCGGUGGUUCUGAAUGGAAGGGCCAUCGCUCAACGGAUAAAAGGUACUCCGGGGAUAACAGGCUGAUACCGCCCAAGAGUUCAUAUCGACGGCGGUGUUUGGCACCUCGAUGUCGGCUCAUCACAUCCUGGGGCUGAAGUAGGUCCCAAGGGUAUGGCUGUUCGCCAUUUAAAGUGGUACGCGAGCUGGGUUUAGAACGUCGUGAGACAGUUCGGUCCCUAUCUGCCGUGGGCGCUGGAGAACUGAGGGGGGCUGCUCCUAGUACGAGAGGACCGGAGUGGACGCAUCACUGGUGUUCGGGUUGUCAUGCCAAUGGCACUGCCCGGUAGCUAAAUGCGGAAGAGAUAAGUGCUGAAAGCAUCUAAGCACGAAACUUGCCCCGAGAUGAGUUCUCCCUGACCCUUUAAGGGUCCUGAAGGAACGUUGAAGACGACGACGUUGAUAGGCCGGGUGUGUAAGCGCAGCGAUGCGUUGAGCUAACCGGUACUAAUGAACCGUGAGGCUUAACCUU
Molecule: ribosomal RNA, 2904 nt
Filed under: Escherichia coli
Lineage: Bacteria; Pseudomonadati; Pseudomonadota; Gammaproteobacteria; Enterobacterales; Enterobacteriaceae
Description: 23S ribosomal RNA
Rfam family: Bacterial large subunit ribosomal RNA
Source: RNAcentral